This 478-nucleotide ribosomal RNA is filed under the name uncultured bacterium. RNAcentral describes it as "partial 16S ribosomal RNA". It matches the Rfam family "Bacterial small subunit ribosomal RNA", at positions 28 to 523 of the family's 1533-position model. The record is from RNAcentral.
GACGAACGCUGGCGGCGUGCUUAACACAUGCAAGUCGAACGAUGAACCACUUCGGUGGGGAUUAGUGGCGAACGGGUGAGUAACACGUGGGCAAUCUGCCCUUCACUCUGGGACAAGCCCUGGAAACGGGGUCUAAUACCGGAUAACACUCCUACUCGCAUGGGUGGGGGUUGAAAGCUCCGGCGGUGAAGGAUGAGCCCGCGGCCUAUCAGCUUGUUGGUGAGGUAGUGGCUCACCAAGGCGACGACGGGUAGCCGGCCUGAGAGGGCGACCGGCCACACUGGGACUGGGACACGGCCCAGACUCCUACGGGAGGCAGCAGUGGGGAAUAUUGCACAAUGGGCGAAAGCCUGAUGCAGCGACGCCGCGUGAGGGAUGACGGCCUUCGGGUUGUAAACCUCUUUCAGCAGGGAAGAAGCGAAAGUGACGGUACCUGCAGAAGAAGCGCCGGCUAACUACGUGCCAGCAGCCGCAGUAA